RNAcentral lists this ribosomal RNA (360 nucleotides) under uncultured bacterium. RNAcentral's name for it is "partial 16S ribosomal RNA". It matches the Rfam family "Bacterial small subunit ribosomal RNA", at positions 338 to 714 of the family's 1533-position model. The record is from RNAcentral.
CCUACGGGUGGCAGCAGUGGGGAAUAUUGGGCAAUGGAGGAAACUCUGACCCAGCAACGCCGCGUGAAGGAUGAAGGUUUUCGGAUUGUAAACUUCUGUCGCGAGGGACGAAGAAUGACGGAACUUCGUAAGAAAGCCCCGGCUAAUUACGUGCCAGCAGCCGCGGUAUUACGUAGGGGGCGAACGUGGUCCGGAGUGCCUGGGCGUAAAGGGAGGGUAGGGGGCAAUAUAAGUUAGAGGUGAAAUCCCGCGUGGCAUCCGCGGAACUGCAUUUAAAACAAUAUGGCGGGAGAGCAGGAGAGGUGAAAGGGAAUCCUAGAGUGGCGGUGGGAUACGUGGAGAUUAGAAGGGGAACCAGAG